CCUACGGGUGGCAGCAGUAGGGAAUAUUGCUCAAUGGGGGAAACCCUGAAGCAGCAACGCCGCGUGGAGGAUGAAGGCUUUCGGAUUGUAAACUCCUUUUGUUAGAGAAGAUAAUGACGGUAUCUAACGAAUAAGCACCGGCUAACUCCGUGCCAGCAGCCGCGGUAAUACGGAGGGUGCAAGCGUUAUCCGGAAUCACUGGGCGUAAAGAGCGCGUAGGCGGGAUAGCAAGUCUGAUGUGAAAUCCAAGGGCUCAACCACAGAACUGCAUUGGAAACUGUUAUUCUAGAGUAUGGGAGAGGUAAGUGGAAUUCUUGGUGUAGCGGUGAAAUGCGUAGAUAUCAAGAGGAACACUCGUGGCGAAGGCGACUUACUAGAACGUAACUGACGCUGAGGCGCGAAAGCGUGGGGAGCAAACAGGAUUAGAUACCCGAGUAGUC
This 440-nucleotide ribosomal RNA is filed under the name uncultured bacterium. Its description in RNAcentral is "partial 16S ribosomal RNA". It matches the Rfam family "Bacterial small subunit ribosomal RNA", at positions 338 to 795 of the family's 1533-position model. The record is from RNAcentral.